UACGGGGGGGGCAAGCGUUGUUCGGAAUUACUGGGCGUAAAGGGCUCGUAGGUGGCCAACUAAGUCAGACGUGAAAUCCCUCGGCUUAACCGGGGAACUGCGUCUGAUACUGGAUGGCUUGAGUUCGGGAGAGGGAUGCGGAAUUCCAGGUGUAGCGGUGAAAUGCGUAGAUAUCUGGAGGAACACCGGUGGCGAAGGCGGCGACCUGGACGGAUACUGACGCUGAGGUGCGAAAGCGUGGGGAGCAAACAGG
This 253-nucleotide ribosomal RNA is filed under the name uncultured bacterium. RNAcentral's name for it is "partial 16S ribosomal RNA". It matches the Rfam family "Bacterial small subunit ribosomal RNA", at positions 524 to 776 of the family's 1533-position model. The record is from RNAcentral.